CUCACCAUAGUUUAUGUAAAACCUCGACCUGCAAAAUCGAAAAUGGAAAAUAUCCUGGUGUGU
RNAcentral lists this transfer RNA (63 nucleotides) under Splendrillia sp. 2 MNHN IM 2013-9750. RNAcentral describes it as "tRNA-Cys". Lineage: Eukaryota; Metazoa; Mollusca; Gastropoda; Neogastropoda; Drilliidae. The record is from RNAcentral.